CGUAAUAGCUCACUAGUCAAGUUGUUUCGCGCCGAAAAUGUAUCGGGGCUAAAGCAUAUUACCGAAGAUGUGAGUCGUGCAUAGCACUGAAUUUCCAAUUUCUAAUUUCUAAUUUCUAAAAAAUUUUCAAUGAUUCAAUUUCUAAACAUAAUAAAGUUUAAAAAUUGAAAAAUUAAGAUUUGUUUUAAAAUUAAAAAUUGAAAAUUGGGGUUUCCGCGCUGUGCGCGGCGGUAGAGGAGCAUUCUGUCCAGCAUUGAAGCUGCUUUGCGAGAAGUAGUGGAGCGGACAGAAGAGAGAAUGUUGGCAUGAGUAGCAAAAAGGCAGGUUAAAACCCUGCCCACCGUAAAUCUAAGGUUUCCUGGGCAACGCAAAUCGACCCAGGGUUAGUCGGUCCUAAGAUGAGUCCCGUGUAGUGCGGGGGUAGUCGAUGGAUGAGCUGGUUAAUAUUCCAGCGCUACUGUAGUUUUUCCUCCUACGCUCUUUGCUUCACAAAGAGCUUCGGAGGACGAGUUCUGAAAUACUAAUGUAUUUUCUGAUCUCGCCCUCCGUAGCUCCGAAUGGAGUGAGGUGCGUAGGAGGGUUCCAAUGGGGAGACGCAAUUUUAAAGUUUGAGCGUGUUCAUGGUAUACGCGUUAAUUACUCCAAGGGAUGAUCCAGGCAAAUCCGGAUCGCUAAUUUCAAGGAGUUGUUAAAAGAUGAAGCUUUUGUGGAAUCGAUUCAAAUGGAAAGAUUGCUUAAAAAAACCUCUAGGGUUAAGACUAUAGUAUCCGUACCGUAAACCGACACAGGUAGAUGAGGCGAGUAGCCUCAGGUGUACAAGAGAACUUUCGUUAAGGAACUCGGCAAACAAGCGGCCGUAAUUUAGAGAUAAGGCCUGCCCGUAGCAAUACGGGCCGCAGCUAAAGAGUCCAAGUGACUGUUUAUCAAAAACAUAGCUCCCUGCUAACUCGUAAGAGGAUGUAUAGGGGGUGAUGCCUGGCCAGUGUCUGUACGUUAAGGGGAGGGGUUAAUCCCGUUCGCGGGGUGAAGCUUCAAACUAAAGCGCAGAUGAACGCCGGCCGUAACUAUAACGGUCCUAAGGUAGCGAAAUUCCUUGUCGGGUAAGUUCCGACCUGCACGAAUGGUACAACAACUUGGACGCUGUCUCAACGAAGGACUUGGCGAAAUUGCAAGACGAGUAAAGAUGCUCGUUAAUCAUAGUUGGACGAAAAGACCCCGUGAAGCUUUACUAUAGCUUGAUAUUGAAUUAGAGGCAUGCAUGUUCAGCAUAGGUGGGACCCCGGUUUACCGGGGGCCAGUGAGAUACCACCCUUGCGUAUUUUUAAUUCUAACCCUAGACCGUUAUCCGGUCAGGGGACAGUAUCUGGUGGGUAGUUUGUCUGGGGCGGAUGCCUCCCAAAAAGUAACGGAGGCGUUUACCAAGGUUGGCUAUCCCGGAAUGGAAACCCGGGAGAUAGUGCAAAGGCAUAAGCCAGCUUUACUGCGAGACCUACAAGUCGAGCAGUUGCGAAAGCAGAACUUAGUGAUCCGACCGUUCGAUAUAGGACGGCGGAAGCUCAUCGGAUAAAAGCUACUCCGGGGAUAACAGGCUAGUCAGGUCCAAGAGUUCACAUCGACGACCUGGUUCGGCACCUUAAUUUAUAUCGGGGUGCCAUCUCGAGCAAUCGAGUAAAUAAAUUUGGCUUAUAACGGUGGACUCCAUAAUUUAAUUGGCCUUAUAAUAAGAUUAUGGACAAUACCGUGGGAAGUCUAUAUAUUUUAGAUUUCAGAUUAACGAUUCUAAAAUAUUAAUGACCCCCUAGAGACUAAUCCCGAAAGGGAGAAAUAGAAGGUACCUGAUAAUCAGGGAAUUAAACUUCUAUUAUACGCCAACUCCGUUUAUUAAUAAAAACGGAUGAAGAUAUAGUCCAAUCCCAUUAGUAAUAAUGGAAAGUAAACUGUAAUUAUACAGUUGAAUCGACAGCGAUGUCGGCUCAUCGCAUCCUGGGGGUGGAGAAGCUCCCAAGGGUUGGGCUGUUCGCCCAUUAAAGCGGUACGUGAGCUGGGUUCAGACCGUCGUAAGACAGGUCGGUCUCCUAUCCACUAUGAUCGCGGAAACUUGAGAAGGCCCUUCCCUAGUACGAGAGGACCGGGAAGGACGAAGCUCUAGUGUACCAGCUGUCCCACCAGGGGCAUCGCUGGGUAGCUACCUUCGGUUAGGAUAAACGCUGAAAGCAUCUAAGCGUGAAGCCGUCUUCAAGAUUAGGUUUCAUAGGUUCGUGAGAGACUAUCACGUUGAUAGGCUCUAGGUGUAAGGCGCGUAAGCGCUUUAGCCGAGGAGUACUAAUAAACCGUUUA
RNAcentral lists this ribosomal RNA (2337 nucleotides) under Candidatus Falkowbacteria bacterium CG_4_8_14_3_um_filter_36_11. RNAcentral describes it as "partial 23S ribosomal RNA". It matches the Rfam family "Bacterial large subunit ribosomal RNA", at positions 1133 to 2925 of the family's 2925-position model. Lineage: Bacteria; Candidatus Falkowiibacteriota. The record is from RNAcentral.